RNAcentral lists this ribosomal RNA (1400 nucleotides) under uncultured bacterium. RNAcentral describes it as "bacterial SSU rRNA". It matches the Rfam family "Bacterial small subunit ribosomal RNA". The record is from RNAcentral.
UUAGAGUUUGAUCCUGGCUCAGGAUGAACGCUAGCGGCAGGCUUAACACAUGCAAGUCGAGGGGCAGCGAGAUCAGUGCUUGCACUGAUUGUCGGCGACCGGCGCACGGGUGCGUAACGCGUAUGCAACCUACCCAUUACAGGGGGAUAACACUGAGAAAUCGGUACUAAUACCCCAUAACAUCCAGGGAGGCAUCUUCUUGGGUUGAAAACUCCGGUGGUAAUGGAUGGGCAUGCGUUGUAUUAGUUAGUUGGUGGGGUAACGGCUCACCAAGACAACGAUACAUAGGGGGACUGAGAGGUUAACCCCCCACAUUGGUACUGAGACACGGACCAAACUCCUACGGGAGGCAGCAGUGAGGAAUAUUGGUCAAUGGACGCAAGUCUGAACCAGCCAUGCCGCGUGCAGGAAGACGGCUCUAUGAGUUGUAAACUGCUUUUGUACGAGGGUAAACGCAGAUACGCGUAUCUGUCUGAAAGUAUCGUACGAAUAAGGAUCGGCUAACUCCGUGCCAGCAGCCGCGGUAAUACGGAGGAUUCAAGCGUUAUCCGGAUUUAUUGGGUUUAAAGGGUGCGUAGGCGGUCGGAUAAGUUAGAGGUGAAAUCCCGGGGCUCAACUUCGGAAUUGCCUCUGAUACUGUUCGGCUAGAGAGUAGUUGCGGUAGGCGGAAUGUAUGGUGUAGCGGUGAAAUGCUUAGAGAUCAUACAGAACACCGAUUGCGAAGGCAGCUUACCAAGCUACUUCUGACGUUGAGGCACGAAAGCGUGGGGAGCAAACAGGAUUAGAUACCCUGGUAGUCCACGCAGUAAACGAUGAUAACUCGUUGUCGGCGAUACAGUGUCGGUGACUAAGCGAAAGCGAUAAGUUAUCCACCUGGGGAGUACGUUCGCAAGAAUGAAACUCAAAGGAAUUGACGGGGGCCCGCACAAGCGGAGGAACAUGUGGUUUAAUUCGAUGAUACGCGAGGAACCUUACCCGGGCUUGAAAGUUAGUGACGGAUCUUGAAAGAGGUCUUCCCUUCGGGGCACGAAACUAGGUGCUGCAUGGUUGUCGUCAGCUCGUGCCGUGAGGUGUCGGGUUAAGUCCCAUAACGAGCGCAACCCCUACCGUUAGUUGCCAGCAGGUCAAGCUGGGCACUCUGACGGGACUGCCGGUGUAAGCCGAGAGGAAGGUGGGGAUGACGUCAAAUCAGCACGGCCCUUACGUCCGGGGCUACACACGUGUUACAAUGGCAGGUACAGAGGGCAGCUACCCAGCGAUGGGAUGCGAAUCUCGAAAGCCUGUCUCAGUUCGGAUUGGAGGCUGAAACCCGCCUCCAUGAAGUUGGAUUCGCUAGUAAUCGCGCAUCAGCCAUGGCGCGGUGAAUACGUUCCCGGGCCUUGCACUCAAAGCCCGUCAAG